Long non-coding RNA from Carassius auratus (goldfish), 928 nucleotides. RefSeq lists it as uncharacterized. The record is from RefSeq and is a predicted model, not a curated record. NCBI's taxonomy places the organism in Eukaryota, Metazoa, Chordata, Actinopteri, Cypriniformes, Cyprinidae. The transcript is spliced from 6 exons.
UUCAAAAUUGACUUGAAAAGUUGGUCUUUGUUUUGUCUGUCGGAUUUGGUCCAAAUUUAGCCCAAAAAUAGAUGUGAAAUAACAGUGAAAUUCUGCGUGACUUCCACGUGCUGUAAUGUGCGCGCGCGCAGAACUGGAGCGGAGGACGUCACCAUGGAAACGAGGCGGCAGCCCAACCGUCAAGCAGCUGAUCGCUGACACUCAAUGUGGUUUCACUUUUUUUUUAGAAGUGCCAGAAAAAAACCUCUAUGACGCAGGAGAAGUUCCUGAUUUUAACAUUUCUGAAGGGAGCUGCUGACAGAGAGGAUGAAAACAUACACAUUUUGAUGUCCACGCUGUAGGAGCAUUACUAAAUAAUGCUUAUGUUCCUAGGUUCUUCCAUGCUGAUGGCUGUGCUCUAGAGUCAUAUCUCCUGUCGAAGAACAUUUUUAGACAUUAUGAACCAUGAAUAAGUUUAGCUCCAACCCCAGUUAAGCAGACCUGAGCAGCUGAUCAAGGAUCAGCAGAAACUCUGCAGAACGGUGGUCCUCCAGCCCAGAACUGGACACCAGUGUUAGUGUCUGUCUCAGAAGCUGAAGAAAAAAGGUCACACCUUAUAGGAAAUAAACGCCUCCUAAGUGUAUGGAAAUACCUGGCUGAGGAGAUCAGUGACAUAAACCAGAUAAAACUGUCAGUGGUCUGAGACAGCUACAAGCCACAAAAACAGUUCAUAGUUCCUGCAUUUCUAUAAUGCAUUAAUGAAUAACAAUAAUUAAAAUAAAAUGUAAUGUCAAGGUUUUGUGUUAAUUCCAGCUAUGUUGAGUAUUCUGUGAAUAAUUUUGAUUUUAGGUGCAUAUUCUUAAUUCUUUGCAAAACAACCUGAACUGUUUGCUAUUGAAAGGUUGGUAUGAAGUUUAAAUAAAUAAAAACAUUAUAUUCUUGACAAAAC